Molecule: ribosomal RNA, 229 nt
Filed under: uncultured bacterium
Lineage: Bacteria
Description: partial 16S ribosomal RNA
Rfam family: Bacterial small subunit ribosomal RNA
Source: RNAcentral
UCCGUAGGUGGAUAAUUAAGUCAGAGGUGAAAUCCUGCAGCUCAACUGUAGAAUUGCCUUUGAUACUGGUUAUCUUGAGUCAUUAUGAAGUGGUUAGAAUGUGUAGUGUAGCGGUGAAAUGCAUAGAUAUUACACAGAAUACCGAUUGCGAAGGCAGAUCACUAGUAAUGUACUGACACUGAGGGACGAAAGCGUGGGGAGCGAACAGGAUUAGAUACCCUGGUAGUCC